GGGGGCAUAGUGUAACGGUCGCACAACAGUCUCCAAAACUGUUAGUUAAGGUUCAAUUCCUUAUGCCCCUG
RNAcentral lists this transfer RNA (71 nucleotides) under Candidatus Kaiserbacteria bacterium RIFCSPHIGHO2_01_FULL_49_13. RNAcentral describes it as "tRNA-Trp". It matches the Rfam family "tRNA". From Rfam's summary of the family: Transfer RNA (tRNA) molecules are approximately 80 nucleotides in length. Their secondary structure includes four short double-helical elements and three loops (D, anti-codon, and T loops). Lineage: Bacteria; Candidatus Kaiseribacteriota. The record is from RNAcentral.